GAAGAUAUAGCUCAAGUGGUAGAGUGUAUGCUUAGCAUGCAUGAGGACCUCGGUUCAAUCCCCAGUACCUACU
Molecule: transfer RNA, 73 nt
Filed under: Camelus dromedarius (Arabian camel)
Lineage: Eukaryota; Metazoa; Chordata; Mammalia; Artiodactyla; Camelidae
Also listed under: 1 other name
Rfam family: tRNA
About the family: Transfer RNA (tRNA) molecules are approximately 80 nucleotides in length. Their secondary structure includes four short double-helical elements and three loops (D, anti-codon, and T loops).
Source: Rfam by way of RNAcentral